CCUACGGGAGGCAGCAGUGGGGAAUAUUGGGCAAUGGGCGCAAGCCUGACCCAGCAACGCCGCGUGAAGGAAGAAGGCUUUCGGGUUGUAAACUUCUUUUCUGAGGGACGAAGAAAGUGACGGUACCUCAGGAAUAAGCCACGGCUAACUACGUGCCAGCAGCCGCGGUAAUACGUAGGUGGCAAGCGUUAUCCGGAUUUAUUGGGUGUAAAUGGGGUGUAGGCGGGAAAGCAAAUCAGAUGUGAAAACUCAGGGCUCAACCCUGAGCCUGUAUUUGAAACUGGUGUUCUUGAGUGCUGGAGAGGCAAUAGGAAGUCCGUGUGUAGCGGUGAAAUGCGUAGAUAUACGGAGGAACACCAGUGGCGAAGGCGGAUUGCUGGACAGUAACUGACGCUGAGGCGCGAAAGCGUGGGGAGCAAACAGGAUUAGAUACCCCUGUAGUC
This 443-nucleotide ribosomal RNA is filed under the name uncultured bacterium. RNAcentral describes it as "partial 16S ribosomal RNA". It matches the Rfam family "Bacterial small subunit ribosomal RNA", at positions 338 to 795 of the family's 1533-position model. The record is from RNAcentral.